AGUGGGAUAGCUGGGUCAAAUGGUGAGUCCAUUCCAAGUUUUCUAAGAAAUCUCCAUAUUGCUUUCCGGAGUGGUUGCACCAAUUUGCACUGCCACCAGCAAU
This 103-nucleotide microRNA precursor is filed under the name Marmota monax (woodchuck). The record is from RNAcentral. Lineage: Eukaryota; Metazoa; Chordata; Mammalia; Rodentia; Sciuridae.